Molecule: long non-coding RNA, 497 nt
Organism: Oenanthe melanoleuca
Lineage: Eukaryota; Metazoa; Chordata; Aves; Passeriformes; Muscicapidae
Exons: 4
Source: RefSeq, a predicted model, not a curated record
GUGUCACCCAGGGAUGUCCCCAGGGUCACUGGUGUCACUGUGUCACCCAGGGAUGUCCCCAGGGCCCAGCUGGCUCUCUCCCUGUGCCAGCAGCACGCCCAGGGCUCGGUGCAGCAGGGUCACUGGUGUCACUGGUGUCACUGGUGUCACUGGUGUCACCCAGGGAUGUCCCCAGGGCCCAGCUCUCCCCCUGUGCCAGCAGCACGCCCAGGGCUCGGUGCAGCAGGGUCACUGGUGUCACUGUGGUCACUGUGUCACCCAGGGAUGUCCCCAGGGCCCAGCUGGCUCUCUCCCUGUGCCAGCAGCACGCCCAGGGCUCGGUGCAGCAGGGUCACUGGUGUCACUGGUGUCACUGGUGUCACUGGUGUCACUGUGUCACCCAGGGAUGUCCCCAGGGCCCAGCUGGCUCUCAGGGUCACUGGUGGAUGUCCCCAGGGCCCAGCUGGCACUCCCCCUGUGCCAGCAGCACGCCCAGGGCUCGGUGCAGCAGGGUCACC